GAUGAAGAACGUAGCAAAAUGCGAUAAGUAAUGUGAAUUGCAGAAUUCAGUGAAUCAUCGAAUCUUUGAACGCACAUUGCGCCCGCCAGUAUUCUGGCGGGCAUGCCUGUUCGAGCGUCAUUUCAACCAUCAAGCCCCCCGGCUUGUGUUGGGGACCUGCGGCUGCCGCAGGCCCUGAAAAGCAGUGGCGGGCUCGCUGUCACACCGAGCGUAGUAGAUCUCAUCUCGCUCAGGGCGUGCUGCGGGUUCCGGCCGUUAAACCACCUUCAUAACCCAAGGUUGACCUCGGAUCAGGUAGGAAGACCCGCUGAACUUAAGCAUAUCAAUAAGCGGAGGA
This 337-nucleotide unclassified non-coding RNA is filed under the name soil metagenome. Its description in RNAcentral is "partial contains 5.8S ribosomal RNA, internal transcribed spacer 2, and large subunit ribosomal RNA". The stretch from base 1 to 120 matches the Rfam family "5.8S ribosomal RNA", at positions 35 to 154 of the family's 154-position model. The record is from RNAcentral.